RNAcentral lists this ribosomal RNA (1385 nucleotides) under uncultured bacterium. RNAcentral's name for it is "bacterial SSU rRNA". It matches the Rfam family "Bacterial small subunit ribosomal RNA", at positions 28 to 1381 of the family's 1533-position model. The record is from RNAcentral.
GACGAACGCUGGCGGCGUGCCUAAUACAUGCAAGUCGAGCGAGCGGAACUAACAGAUUUACUUCGGUAAUGACGUUAGGAAAGCGAGCGGCGGAUGGGUGAGUAACACGUGGGGAACCUGCCCCAUAGUCUGGGAUACCACUUGGAAACAGGUGCUAAUACCGGAUAAGAAAGCAGAUCGCAUGAUCAGCUUUUAAAAGGCGGCGUAAGCUGUCGCUAUGGGAUGGCCCCGCGGUGCAUUAGCUAGUUGGUAAGGUAAAGGCUUACCAAGGCGAUGAUGCAUAGCCGAGUUGAGAGACUGAUCGGCCACAUUGGGACUGAGACACGGCCCAAACUCCUACGGGAGGCAGCAGUAGGGAAUCUUCCACAAUGGACGCAAGUCUGAUGGAGCAACGCCGCGUGAGUGAAGAAGGUUUUCGGAUCGUAAAGCUCUGUUGUUGGUGAAGAAGGAUAGAGGUAGUAACUGGCCUUUAUUUGACGGUAAUCAACCAGAAAGUCACGGCUAACUACGUGCCAGCAGCCGCGGUAAUACGUAGGUGGCAAGCGUUGUCCGGAUUUAUUGGGCGUAAAGCGAGCGCAGGCGGAAGAAUAAGUCUGAUGUGAAAGCCCUCGGCUUAACCGAGGAACUGCAUCGGAAACUGUUUUUCUUGAGUGCAGAAGAGGAGAGUGGAACUCCAUGUGUAGCGGUGGAAUGCGUAGAUAUAUGGAAGAGCACCAGUGGCGAAGGCGGCUCUCUGGUCUGCAACUGACGCUGAGGCUCGAAAGCAUGGGUAGCGAACAGGAUUAGAUACCCUGGUAGUCCAUGCCGUAAACGAUGAGUGCUAAGUGUUGGGAGGUUUCCGCCUCUCAGUGCUGCAGCUAACGCAUUAAGCACUCCGCCUGGGGAGUACGACCGCAAGGUUGAAACUCAAAGGAAUUGACGGGGGCCCGCACAAGCGGUGGAGCAUGUGGUUUAAUUCGAAGCAACGCGAAGGACCUUACCAGGUCUUGACAUCUAGUGCCAUUUGUAGAGAUACAAAGUUCCCUUCGGGGACGCUAAGACAGGUGGUGCAUGGCUGUCGUCAGCUCGUGUCGUGAGAUGUUGGGUUAAGUCCCGCAACGAGCGCAACCCUUGUUAUUAGUUGCCAGCAUUAAGUUGGGCACUCUAAUGAGACUGCCGGUGACAAACCGGAGGAAGGUGGGGAUGACGUCAAGUCAUCAUGCCCCUUAUGACCUGGGCUACACACGUGCUACAAUGGGCAGUACAACGAGAAGCGAGCCUGCGAAGGCAAGCGAAUCUCUGAAAGCUGUUUUCAGUUCGGACUGCAGUCUGCAACUCGACUGCACGAAGCUGGAAUCGCUAGUAAUCGCGGAUCAGCACGCCGCGGUGAAUACGUUCCCGGGCCU